RNAcentral lists this ribosomal RNA (104 nucleotides) under uncultured bacterium. RNAcentral describes it as "partial 16S ribosomal RNA". It matches the Rfam family "Bacterial small subunit ribosomal RNA", at positions 1379 to 1482 of the family's 1533-position model. The record is from RNAcentral.
CCUUGUACACACCGCCCGUCACGCCAUGGGAGUUGGCUUUACCCGAAGACGGUGCGCUAACCGCAAGGAGGCAGCCGGCCACGGUAAGGUCAGCGACUGGGGUG